Molecule: long non-coding RNA, 661 nt
Filed under: Homo sapiens (human)
Lineage: Eukaryota; Metazoa; Chordata; Mammalia; Primates; Hominidae
Description: HSALNT0285937
Source: RNAcentral
UGGGACUACAGGCACCCGCCACAACGCCAGCAAAUUUUUUGUAUUUUUAGUAGAGACAGGGUUUCACUGUGUUAGCUAGGCUGGUCUCAAUCUCCUGACCUCGUGAUCUGCCUGCCUCGGCCUCCCAGAGUGCUGGGAUUACAGGUAUGAGCCGCUGCGCCCAGACCCGUGAAUAUUCUUAAUUCAAGGCAAUGUGUUUGUUUGCAUACAGGCAAGCAGGGUCACUAGGACCGCUCAGGGAGAGAGAAUCUAGAAACCUGGCACACAGGCAAAAGGGUCAGAUUUCCUUCCAACAGACUGAAGGUGGGUGUCGCCCUAUGUUCCUGGGAAGAAAAGUUCCAGUGCCACAAAUCCAUCUGCAAGUCCUGCUGUGUCACUUCGAGGACUGUAAGUAAAAGAACUGGAGAGACAGAGCAAGAUGCCUGGACUUGGAGAACCAAAAUAGAUCUGGAUAUGCAAGACAAUAGAUGCUGCAGGAGAAGAGAAAAAACAAUUCAGAUUUCCUAAUUAGAGAAGAAUCGAUGGAGGAGAGGAGACUUAAACUGGGCCUCCAACAACUCACAGAACUUGAAGAGUUGGAAGUAUGUGUCAGUGUAUCUGUAUAUGAGGAUGUAUACAGCAGUAGGGAAUGGGAGAGUUGCAGAAAGAUUUUAAGAAGGAG